Nothoprocta perdicaria is the source of this 1224-nucleotide long non-coding RNA. RefSeq lists it as uncharacterized. The transcript has 2 exons. The record is from RefSeq and is a predicted model, not a curated record. Lineage: Eukaryota; Metazoa; Chordata; Aves; Tinamiformes; Tinamidae.
AAUGGGAGGCUGGAGCAUCCUGGUGACAAAACAACCGGGGAGGUGGGUGACAGAGGKUUCAAAACCAAACUGAUAUGGUCAGAUGGUUCGCUGUACCUUGCAAAAUGAAACAUAUAUUCCUGACAGCUAUUUAAACUCAACUACUUAAAGCGAUGGAGCCCUAAGCUGUGCAAGGAUUGGUGAAGAAGGGGURUGUAACACUGCUGUACUUAAGGCCCUCUUUUUUUAUUUUUUCCUGUGCUACCUCCAAAAGAUGAAUUUCGUAGAUGUAACUGUGAUGUCACUUGGCCGUGUAUCUUGAUCUUUCUUCUAGASAGUUUGAGGAUAAUGUCACUGCAGAGGGCAGCCGUACCACCACUGAGGAUCUUAUCUAUGUCAGUGACUCAAAGAAAAGAUUAGAAUAACUUGUAAUCCUCUUGUUGCUAUUAAAAGUUGUUGGGUAAUUUCUGAUGUCAUUUUUAGAAGAUUUGUACCUCUAUAACUCAACGAAUCUAAGAAAAAAUAUGCCAUAUUGCAGUGCAUGUUUGUUUCCUCUUUGCUCAGUCAUGAAGUAGGUCGUGUUCUGAAUUCGGAUGUGCUGUAAUAGAUAUGCAGCAGAAUCCAGCCAAAUGAUAUUCAGUGUUCAGUAUCAUUUGAUAGUGAUUAUGCAGUCACAAUUAUUUUUCAUAAAAUAACAUUUAUAGCUCUAAAAUACAGCUCUGAACACUGGCUUCAUUGAUGAGAAUAAAAAAUUAAACACAAAAGUAGCUCAGGAGAAAAYGAGUGGAGAGGAGGAGGAUUCUGGAUGGAUUAUCUUUAUUUAUGUUAAGAGACUUAAAGGCAGGAUUAAAACAAAGGCAUCAAAGGACGAGCAUAAUUUUCAAACAAGUAAAAUGCAGUAUUAGAUCUGUCUGGCAACAUAUUGGGCAAAUAAGCAUGACAGCCUAUUAAUUACUGURUUUGUAUUACACAGUCUAUAAACAAUUGGAGAAGUAAGAAACACAUUUUAUAUAAUAGAUAAUGAAAAGCAUWUCACAGGAUAAAAAAAGUGCUUCUGAAUGUAUUGACGUACUUUCUGAAUGUGCAGAUGAAUAGAUUGUAUUCUUGUCUGCCUAACAUGAUUUGACAUUAGCGUAUAGAGAAGAGAAGGAGCAGUUACUUAAUUUUGGUGUUAUCACUGGGAAUAUGUGUCCUGGUUCACAGAACACAAAAUGUGCUCUUUCAUUGUGAAAUUGUUUUCUGUAU